Molecule: unclassified non-coding RNA, 6492 nt
Filed under: Mizuhopecten yessoensis (Yesso scallop)
Lineage: Eukaryota; Metazoa; Mollusca; Bivalvia; Pectinida; Pectinidae
Description: ubiquitin carboxyl-terminal hydrolase 15-like, transcript variant X1
Source: RNAcentral
CUAAAAUGGCCGAAGGUGGUGUAGUCGAGAUGUCGGAAGACACCGAAAAAAUCCCCGAUUGUGCUAAACAAAAGUCAGAAAUCGCAAGUUUGAUGAAGAAAACUCUCAAGAAAGGAGACACUUGGUACCUGUUGGACACUAAGUGGUACAAACAGUGGAAGAAGUAUGUCGGGUAUGAUAGCUGGGACUCGUUCAGUGUCGGAGAACAGAAUUCGCACCCAGGACCAAUGGACAACUGUCCACUUGUCAAAGAGGAGGAAGGGGGUCUGAAACCACAUCUGAUAGAGGAGCUGGACUACAUGCUUCUACCAGAGGAGGCUUGGGACAAAAUGCUUGCCUGGUAUGGUUUAGCAAAGGAACAGGAAUCCAUAUGUCGUGGUGUUAUUGAGCAGGGAACAUUUGUAAAACACUUCAAGGUGGAGGUGUACCUGCUGGAUGUAAAACUGUGUCGGAACUCUGACCUGGAAACUGUGAUAACCAAACAAUUUAGUAGAGUCGCUACAAUAGAAAAUAUUGAGAAGGAAAUGAGAAAUACGUUUGAAAUCCCGGAGGAGAAGGAAGUGAGGUUAUGGAAUAAGUACAUGGCCAGUACAUAUGAGCAUCUAAACAAACCGGAGCACACACUACAGGAAGCUGGACUCUACACAGGACAGACGAUUGUGAUAGAGGAGAAGAAUGAAGAUGGGACUUGGCCAAGACAGGCUAAAAGUACCAGUACUUACACGUCAACCUCUACUAGUACAAACUCGAGAUCCAAUAGUGUAGGGAGUUCCAGUCAUGAGUCGAGUUCUGGCUACGGUGGGAGUGGAGGGACCUCAUACAACAGUUAUUACAACAGCUCCAGUAGCUACGAACCAGGGCGGGGCCAUGCCACCCCAGGGCUGUGUGGGCUAGCCAAUUUAGGCAACACUUGCUUCAUGAACUCUGCCCUACAGUGUAUGAGUAAUGUGCCUAUGCUGACCCAGUACUUUCUCAAUGAUGAAUGGGUGGAUGAAGUGAAUGAGGACAAUCCUCUGGGCAUGAGAGGUGAAAUUGCUCGUUCAUUUGCAGAGCUUGUCAAAACACUCUGGUCUGGCAAGUACAGCUACACAGCUCCACGGAACUUCAAGUACGCAGUGGGCAGAUUUGCGCCGCAGUUCUCUGGUUUCCAACAACAGGACUCACAAGAGCUGAUGGCAUUUCUACUGGAUGGCCUUCACGAAGACCUGAACAGGAUCCGUCAAAAACCCUAUAUAGAGAUGAAAGACAAUGACGAGCGGCCAGAUACGGAUGUAGCGAAGGAAUCGUGGGAAAACUACAGGAAGAGGAACGAUUCUGUGAUAGUAGAUACUUUUCACGGACUUCUAAAGUCCACUGUACAUUGUCCUGAGUGUGCUAAAAUUUCUGUAACUUUUGACCCCUUCUGUUACCUCUCUUUACCACUCCCAAUCAAAAAGGAGCGACAGCUGGAAGUGUUCUGGGUCCCUCUUAACCCCCAGAAGAAACCUGUACAGUUCAAACUAACCGUGCCAAAAAUGGGAACUGUACUGGAUUUGUGCAAUGCACUAUCAAAUCAUGUGCAGGCUGAUCCAGACAAAAUGGCAGUAACAGAUGUGUAUAGUCAUAGGUUCCAUAAAGUUUUCUCUCAUGAUGACACGCUCAACAAUAUACUAGACAGGGAUGAUAUAUUUGUAUAUGAAGUCCCUGUAGCUUGGGAUGACCCAGACACGGUCAUUGUGCCCAUAUACAUGAGAGAGAAGAGAGUGAAGAACCAGUAUUCUAGUUACCAGAUGUCUACGUACCAGCUGUUCGGUCAGCCCCUCCUCCUUCCUGUCCCACGACGGGAAUGCACCUACCAGGUCCUGUACAACCAGCUCCUACAGAGGGUCUCGCGGUAUGUGAAGGUUCCAGAGAAUGCAGGUAGUUGGUGGAAGGACGAGGAGGAGCAGGACGGACAAAUGUCAGACUGUAACAAAGGAAAGGAUAACAAACAAGUCAACAGUGAUGAGGAGAUCACAAAAGAAAAUGGGAUGGCUGUGGAAAACAAACAGAAGCAAGUCAAUGGAGAAGCUAAUGAAAUGGAAAUAUCUGCUGCGAAUGGGAACAAAGAAAGUGAAACGGAUGAUAAACAAACAAUUAGCAGUGAAAACACAGACACAAGUGCUGUUGCUAACAUAGAACCACCGCCAUUGUUUAAAUUUAGGAUGGUAAAUUCUUAUGGAAGUGCAGAAAUAGACCACAAAUUGAAAAAUGACGGAAAUCCUCUACGUUUGCAUAAUCGUACACAUAUAGCCGUGGACUGGCACCCUCUAGCAAAGGACAAAUUCUAUGAUGAACAGGCAGCAGAGGACUUGGAGCAGCAUGAGUCUGUGAAACAGAGGCUGCAGAGGAAACAGGUGCUACAACUGGACGACUGUCUGGAGCUCUUUACACGUAUUGAACAGCUGGGUGAAAAUGACCUCUGGUAUUGUCCACAAUGUAAAAAGCACCAACAAGCUACAAAGAAAUUUGACCUGUGGUCAUUGCCAGAUGUGCUCAUCAUUCACCUGAAGAGGUUCUCCUACAACCGUUACUACCGUGACAAGAUUGACACGCUCAUUGAGUUCCCUUACAACGGGUUAAAUCUGAAAAAAUACAUAAUCAACAAAGAUGAUGGGACCAUGACCUACGACCUGAUCGCGGUCACCAAUCAUUAUGGAGGAUUGGGCGGUGGUCACUACACAGCCUAUGGGAAAAGUGUAGAUGAUAAUGAGUGGCACUAUUUUGACGAUUCCAGUGUGUCGUCCGCCUCGGAGGAGGAUGUUACGUCUAAGGCUGCCUACGUCCUUGUGUAUCAGAAGCAAGGGACAAACCCCAAACCAGCCAAGUGUAAUAGGACUUCUCACGCUGCUGGAGGGGCCAUGGAAAACAGCAUCAACAGUCUCAGUGAUGAGGAGAUGGAAACCACAUAGAACAUUGCUUUACCUUGAAGGUGUUGACCUUGGGAUUUGACCUUAAAAGGUGACCUUGACAUUUGAUCUAGGGAUGCAAAUGAUAGGGUUGACCUUGGAUGUGAUAGGAUACUAGUGUCCACAGUUGUACAAAAAGGAACUGAGAAACCAACAUGGACAAAAAAGGGAGUACACAACAUUGACAGGCAGCACAGACAAUAUCCCUGUGAGUGGAAGUCGUACAGCGGGUUGGUUGUUCUUACAUAGACUUUAUAAAGACAAUAAGUGAGGAAACAUAGUGUUCCACCCUAGCCUGAUUAAUGGAGCUGAUGUGUGUUACAGGUGUGUGAUCAGAAUAAAGAGUGGUGUUUACUUCUAUUGAACUAUAGAAUGUUGUAUUUCAUAGAUUCUGUGCCCAUACAGAUGGGACUAACAACAGGUUCCCACUGUGUGAUUAGGAUGAUUGAAAUACCUUGUAAUAGAGAGUUCCACAUGCAAGCAGGUCAUGUAUAUCCUCAAUAAAUAUUUGAUCCACUUUAAAAAUGUUCACCUGUUCAGUUUUUAUGAGGACAGUCCAUGUGUGUCUUGGUGAAUAUAACAUGUAUCUGUCCUAUUAAGUGCAGCCAUUGUCUUUUCUGGCAAGACUGUGUCUGUCCUAUUGAGGACAACCCUAGUUUGUCCUACUUUGUUUCCUUCUGAAGACAACCCUUACAUGUCCUGCUGUGGCAAGUCUGGCCUAGUAAGGACAACCUUAAAUGUCCUACUGUGGCAAGUCUGGCCUAGUAAAGACAUCCUUAAAUGUCCUACUGUGGCAAGUCUGGCCUAGUAAGGACAACCUUAAAUGUCCUACUGUGGCAAGUCUGGCCUAGUAAGGACAACCCUUACGUGUCCCACUGUGUCUAGCCUGUAUCUGCCCUUUUGAAAACCAGUGUUGCCCUUUGUUAUGUACCGAGUGGGGUAAACAGAUAUAUGCUAAAAGAGUGUUGAUAUGUUGACUGAUGUACUAGAAAUUAUAUAGUUAUUCCAUGUUUUACUUGUGGAUAGAACACCUUCAUGUACUCUGUAUUAUAUACAAUAAGUUUAUGUAUUGUGUAAAUAUGUUGGAUCCUAUGUACAUAUUUGAAUAAACACUUGAUUGUAUCAUAUUGGUACAUGUAUGGGAAUUAACCAUAUUGGAGGGCUUGGAGGCACUUUUUAGAGGCCCCGCAUGCCAUUGAAUAUCAGAACUGAUUUAUAUUAAGAAUGGUGGGCAGAUUUUGAACUAACCCCAUUGUUAUUUAGUGAUACAAGUGAUGCUGACCUCCCUGCUAUUGUUAUUUAGUGAUACAGGUGAUACUGACCUCCCUACUAUUGUUAUUUAGUGAUACAGGUGAUGCUGACCUCCCUGCUAUUGUUAUUUAGUGAUACAGGUGAUACUGACCUCCCUGCUAUUGUUAUUUAGUGAUACAGGUGAUGCUGACCUCCCUGCUAUUGUUAUUUAGUGAUACAGGUGAUGCUGACCUCCCUGCUAUUGUUAUUUAGUGAUACAGGUGAUGCUGACCUCCCUGCUAUUGUUAUUUAGUGAUACAGGUGAUGCUGACCUCCCUGCUAUUGUUAUUUAGUGAUACAGGUGAUGCUGACCUCCCUGCUAUUGUUAUUUAGUGAUACAGGUGAUGCUGACCUCCCUGCUAUUGUUAUUUAGUGAUACAGGUGAUGCUGACCUCCCUGCUAUUGUUAUUUAGUGAUACAGGUGAUGCUGACCUCCCUGCUAUUGUUAUUUAGUGAUACAGGUGAUGCUGACCUCCCUGCUAUUGUUAUUUAGUGAUACAGGUGAUGCUGACCUCCCUGCUAUUGUUAUUUAGUGAUACAGGUGAUGCUGACCUCCCUGCUAUUGUUAUUUAGUGAUACAGGUGAUGCUGACCUCCCUGCUAUUGUUAUUUAGUGAUACAGGUGAUGCUGACCUCCCUGCUAUUGUUAUUUAGUGAUACAGGUGAUGCUGACCUCCCUGCUAUUGUUAUUUAGUGAUACAGGUGAUGCUGACCUCCCUGCUAUUGUUAUUUAGUGAUACAGGUGAUGCUGACCUCCCUGCUAUUGUUAUUUAGUGAUACAGGUGAUGCUGACCUCCCUGCUAUUGUUAUUUAGUGAUACAGGUGAUGCUGACCUCCCUGCUAUUGUUAUUUAGUGAUACAGGUGAUGCUGACCUCCCUGCUAUUGUUAUUUAGUGAUACAGGUGAUGCUGACCUCCCUGCUAUUGUUAUUUAGUGAUACAGGUGAUGCUGACCUCCCUGCUAUUGUUAUUUAGUGAUACAGGUGAUGCUGACCUCCCUGCUAUUGUUAUUUAGUGAUACAGGUGAUGCUGACCUCCCUGCUAUUGUUAUUUAGUGAUACAGGUGAUGCUGACCUCCCUGCUAUUGUUAUUUAGUGAUACAGGUGAUGCUGACCUCCCUGCUAUUGUUAUUUAGUGAUACAGGUGAUGCUGACCUCCCUGCUAUUGUUAUUUAGUGAUACAGGUGAUGCUGACCUCCCUGCUAUUGUUAUUUAGUGAUACAGGUGAUGCUGACCUCCCUGCUAUUGUUAUUUAGUGAUACAGGUGAUACUGACCUCCCUACUAUUGUUAUUUAGUGAUACAGGUGAUGCUGACCUCCCUGCUAUUGCUUAUACUUAAAUAUCCCUUACUGUCAUACUCUUGUUUUUCAAAAUGAUGUCCAUUUAAAAUGUGGAGGUUUUCGUUCAAAGAGGAUGAAAACAAGUUUGCCCCAAUAUUAUAACAUAAUCAUCAAACCUAAACAAUGCGGUCAGAAACUCUAGGUUAGAUGUUAAUACCAGGAAUUAUAUAGGGUUAAAUCAGUUUGACAGAUUUGAUCAGUGUAUGAAUUAAAGUUGUAUACAGGGCAAAUGUUUACCAGUAUAACCUGAUAGGUAAGUUAUGAUAGCUGUCUUGAAUAGACAUAGAAGUUUGUAAAGAUGGUAUGUACCCUUUAUAAUGAGGUCUGUAUAGACAGCAAUAAGUCAGUUACAGACAAGGUGUGACCUCUACGGAAACAAAACUGUUCCUUACAACACUAGCUGGAUAGAGGAACAGCUGAAAUAGUGGAGGCUGGAUAAAUGUGGUUUUGUUGUAUGUAGGGUGACGAUCCGUGGAGGCUGGAUUAACGUGGUUUUGUUGUAUGGAGGCUAAAGAUUGGUUAAUCCUACAAGUUUGUAUGUAUGUCGGGUCACUCAUCUGUUGGGGUUAUACUGUGUCUGUGACUGUCUGCUUGUUGGGGUUAUACUGUGUCUGUGACUGUCUGCUUGUUGGGGUUAUACCGUGUCUGUGACUGUCUGCUUGUUGGGGUUAUACUGUGUCAGUGACUGUCUGCUUGUUACAUUUAAUUUAUUAAUAUUUGUUUUCUGACAGUGGUUUGUAUUUUUGUUUUCAUCAAUAAAAGACAGAUCUGCCAUUAUUUAGACGCCACAUGAAAUAAUAACAUGCCAGAUAAGAAACAGUUGAAUCCGGUUAGUUCAGAGAAUAUUUUUCAAUCAAAGUCCGUUGUAACUGAGUUCAGAUUAGUACACUUCCCAGGAUUAACAACAGUACUGGAUUGCUAAUACAGGCUCUGUAUCA